RNAcentral lists this ribosomal RNA (494 nucleotides) under uncultured bacterium. RNAcentral's name for it is "partial 16S ribosomal RNA". It matches the Rfam family "Bacterial small subunit ribosomal RNA", at positions 28 to 507 of the family's 1533-position model. The record is from RNAcentral.
GACGAACGCUGGCGGCGUGCUUAACACAUGCAAGUCGAACGGAAAGGCCUGCUUUCCCUUGUGGUUUGCGGGUACUCGAGUGGCGAACGGGUGCGUAACACGUGAGUGAUCAGCCCCCAACUUGGGUAUAAGACUGGGAAACUGGGUCGAAUUCCCGAUAGGACUGCAGGGUGGUGCCGGUGGUGGCAAACGAUUUUCUAGUGGUUGGGGAUGAGCUCGCGGCCUAUCAGCUUGGUGGUGGGGUAAUGUCCUACAAAGGCGGCGACGGGGAGCCGGCCUGGGAGGGCGGACGGCCACAUUGGGACUGAGCUACGGCCCAGACGCCUACGGGAGGCAGCAGUGGGGAAUAUUGCACAAUGGGCGGAAGCCUGAUGCAGCGACGCCGCGUGGGGGAUGACGGCCUUCGGGUUGUAAACUCCUUUCGACCGCGAGGAAGCCACCUGGUUGGAAGGGUGGUGACGGUAGUGGUAGAAGAAGCACCGGCUAACUACGUG